This 426-nucleotide ribosomal RNA is filed under the name uncultured Burkholderiales bacterium. RNAcentral's name for it is "bacterial SSU rRNA". It matches the Rfam family "Bacterial small subunit ribosomal RNA", at positions 356 to 774 of the family's 1533-position model. The record is from RNAcentral. Lineage: Bacteria; Pseudomonadati; Pseudomonadota; Betaproteobacteria; Burkholderiales.
GGGGAAUUUUGGACAAUGGGCGCAAGCCUGAUCCAGCAAAGCCGCGUGCAGGAUGAAGGCCUUCGGGUUGUAAACUGCUCUUGUACGGAACGAAAAGCCUCUCUCUAAUACAGGGGGGUGAUGACGGUACCGUAAGAAUAAGCACCGGCUAACUACGUGCCAGCAGCCGCGGUAAUACGUAGGGUGCAAGCGUUAAUCGGAAUUACUGGGCGUAAAGCGUGCGUAGGCGGCUUUUUAAGUCGGAUGUGAAAUCCCCGAGCUUAACUUGGGAAUUGCAUUCGAGACGAGGAAGCUAGAGUAUGGGAGAGGAUGGUAGAAUUCCAGGUGUAGCGGUGAAAUGCGUAGAUAUGCGUAGGAACACCGAUGGCGAAGGCAAUCCCCUGGGCCUGCACUGACGCUCAUGCACGAAAGCGUGGGGAGCAAACA